RNAcentral lists this ribosomal RNA (467 nucleotides) under uncultured bacterium. RNAcentral's name for it is "partial 16S ribosomal RNA". It matches the Rfam family "Bacterial small subunit ribosomal RNA", at positions 29 to 507 of the family's 1533-position model. The record is from RNAcentral.
ACGAACGCUGGCGGCGUGCUUAACACCUGCAAGUCGAACGGAAAGGCCCUGCUUUUGUGGGGUGCUCGAGUGGCGAACGGGUGAGUAACACGUGAGUAACCUGCCCUUGACUUUGGGAUAACUUCAGGAAACUGGGUCUAAUACCGGAUAGGAGCUCCUGCUGCAUGGUGGGGGUUGGAAAGUUUCGGCGGUUGGGGAUGGACUCGCGGCUUAUCAGCUUGUUGGUGGGGUAGUGGCUUACCAAGGCUUUGACGGGUAGCCGGCCUGAGAGGGUGACCGGCCACAUUGGGACUGAGAUACGGCCCAGACUCCUACGGGAGGCAGCAGUGGGGAAUAUUGCACAAUGGGCGGAAGCCUGAUGCAGCAACGCCGCGUGCGGGAUGACGGCCUUCGGGUUGUAAACCGCUUUCGCCUGUGACGAAGCGUGAGUGACGGUAAUGGGUAAAGAAGCACCGGCUAACUACGUG